UACGUAGGGUGCAAGCGUUAAUCGGAAUUACUGGGCGUAAAGCGUGCGCAGGCGGUUAUGUAAGACAGGUGUGAAAUCCCCGGGCUUAACCUGGGAACUGCAUUUGUGACUGCAUAGCUAGAGUACGGUAGAGGGGGAUGGAAUUCCGCGUGUAGCAGUGAAAAUGCGUAGAUAUGCGGAGGAACACCGAUGGCGAAGGCAAUCCCCUGGACCUGUACUGACGCUCAUGCACGAAAAGCGUGGGGGAGCGAAACAGG
Molecule: ribosomal RNA, 257 nt
Filed under: uncultured bacterium
Lineage: Bacteria
Description: partial 16S ribosomal RNA
Rfam family: Bacterial small subunit ribosomal RNA
Source: RNAcentral